This 15803-nucleotide long non-coding RNA is filed under the name Brassica rapa (field mustard). RNAcentral's name for it is "long non-coding RNA (BRAP_LNC007115)". Lineage: Eukaryota; Viridiplantae; Streptophyta; Magnoliopsida; Brassicales; Brassicaceae. The record is from RNAcentral.
GGAGCUGGAAGCCAUUGGACUUUGCGCAGACCACCGUGGCUUGAACAUGAGACACAUGUUUUGCCGUGACAAUGGCCAUCAGUGUUUUGUAGUUAGGGCUCGUGAACCUCUUGUUUUUCGUGUAGGACACGUAAGAAGACAAGAAGGUGGUAGUGUUCUCGGCGGUGAAGAUUGUUAAUCUUUUACCAACCGCUUGUGUUACACAACGAUCACAGUGUGUUACACACGAGUUCGAGAGAAAGAAUAAGAUAGACGUUUCAGGCUUAUAAACUUUUCUGAAAAUACUUUUGUGUUAUUGAGAUUCGGUGAUUUUUGUUUACAACAGAUGAUUGAUCUUUAUAUAGAGAUCGAAUCAAUACAAGUAUAAGAGACACAACUCUUUAUACUAAAGGACACAACAUGAAGAGUUACAACUCUUUGUGUAAUAACAUAAAUAACUAACUUAUGUAAAUGUAUCAAGGAGAGAUUAGAUUAUAUAGUUUAACACUCCUCCUUAAUCAUAUCUCGACUUGACUCCAAGCUGCUUCCUUAGAUCUUCAAAUCUUGAACCGCCCAAUGCCUUUGUGAGAAUGUCUGCGAGUUGAUCAUCCCCUUUGCAAUACUUCAGUUCAAUGAUUCCCUUUUGCUCAGCUUCCCUCACGAAAUGGUACUUGAUCUCUAUGUGCUUCGUCCUUCUGUGUUGCACCGGAUUCUUCCCAAUUGCUAUUGCUGAUUUGUUGUCACAUAAGAUCGGAAUGCCUCCUUCAAACUUCUGACCAAAGUCUUCAAAUAGUCUUUGUAACCACACUGCUUGAUUUGCUGCUGCACACACGGCUAUGUACUCUGCCUCAGCCGUUGAUUGCGCCACUGUUUGUUGCUUGCUUGACUGCCAACAAAACAUGGCUGAUCCAAGAGUAAACACAUAACCUGAAGUGCUUUUCUUGUCUUCCUUAGAACCACCCCAAUCGCUGUCUGUGUAGCCUAGAAGUCUUGGUUCUUUCACGCUUGUGAAGUACACUCCAAAGUUUGAUGUUCCUUUGACAUAUCUUAACACCCUCUUGGCUUCUUGGUAGUGCUUCAUGCGAGGUGAUGACAUGUAUCUUGAGAGAUAGCGCUUGCAUACAUCACAUCAGGUCUUGAUGCACACAAGUACAAAAGCCCUCCAAUGAUGCUUCUAUACUUAGUCGGAUCUCCAUACUCCUUGUCAUCCUCAACUCCUUUUCCUUGUGGUGUAAGUGGGUUGCUUACACUCUUGCUGUCUCGCAUCCCAAACUUGUCUACAAGUUUGUUUGCAUACUUUUCUUGUGAAAGAAAUAUGCCUCCAUUGUCUUGAAUUACUUCCAUUCCAAGAAAGUAGUUCAACAAUCCAAGAUCCACCAUCUCGAAUUCUUUCUUCAUGUUCUCCUUGAAUGUGUUGAUGCUCUGAAUGUUGCUUCCUGUGAUGAUUAUAUCAUCCACAUAUAGACUCACGAUCAACACAUCUCCUCCUUGCUUCUUGAUGUAUAAGGCCGCAUCAUUCAUACUCCUCUCAAAACCGUUUUGAAGAAAGUAUGAAUCUAUCCUUCCAUACCAUGCCCUUGGGGCUUGCUUUAAACCAUAUAAAGCUUUGUGUAGCCUUAACACCUUGUGUUCCUUCCCGUGUGUCACAUACCCAGGCGGUUGUGUGACAUACACUUCUUCCUUGAGGUCGCCAUUGAGAAAGGCUGACUUCACAUCCAUCUGAUACAAUUGCCACUUCAUCUGAGCCGCAUAGGCAAGUAUGGCUCGUAUUGUAUCAUGUCUUGAGACAGGAGCAAACGUCUCAAGGUAGUCAACACCAUACUCUUGAGAGAACCCUCUUGCAACUAGCCGCGCCUUGUGCUUGAUGUGAUUGCCGUUUGCAUCGGUCUUGAUCUUGUAGAUCCACUUCACACUUAUCACAUUCUUCUUCUUUGGCUUGUCCACUAGUUCCCACGUCUUGUUCUUCUCAAUCAUGGCUAUCUCCUCAUUCAUUGCUUCUCUCCAUUCCUUGGUACCACACGCUUCAUCAUAAGUGUAUGGUUCUUCAUUUGCAUGAAGACAAGCUUCUAUAGCUUGAGCCGCUUCAUCAAGCUCUACUCUCGGUGCCCUUUCCAUGAUAUCAACCAUGGACUUGAACUUCCUUGGUGCCUCAGAAGUUUCUUCAUCUCCACUACUAGUAUCAUGAUCAUCAUUUUGAAAAGAAAUAGGACUGAAAGUACCUCCAAAUUGUUCCUCAGGACUGGAUGCACCUUCGGUUUGUUCCUCAGGACUGGAUGCACCUUCGGUUUGAUCCUCAGGCGAGUGAGAGUCUUCCAUAGACAACUCCAAUGUCUUCCUCACUUCUUCUUGCCUUUUCCAAUCCCACUUCUUUCCUUCUUCAAACUCGACAUCUCUUGAUACUUCAAUCUUCUCAUUCUCCAAAAUGAGAACUCUAUAGCCUUUGGAUUGGUUGCUAUAUCCAACAAAGACUCCACGCUUUGCCUUGACGUCUAGCUUCCUCCUCUUUUGAUUUGGGAUAUGUAUGUAGCAUAUGCUACCAAACAUUCUCAUGUGUGACACAUCUGGCUUGUGUCCACACCACUUCUCUAUAGGAGUGACAUCUUCUUCUAUUGCCUUUGAUGGCAGACGGUUUUGAAGAUAUGAGGCAGUGUAUACCGCUUCUGCCCAUAACUUGAGCGGUAAGUCUUGCUCUGCCAACAUCGAUCUAGCCAUCUCCACCAAGGUCCUAUUCAUGCGCUCCGCUGCACCAUUUUGUUGUGGUGAAUAAGGCAAGGUGACUUGCUUAUUGAUUCCUUCUUCUUCACAGAACCGGUUGAAUUCUCGUGAAGUGAACUCACCACCUCCAUCUGAUCUCAGUGUCUUGAUGGUACAAUCCGACUGCUUCUCCACCAUUGCUUUGAACUUCUUGAACAGUGAGAAUGUCUCUGACUUUUGCUUCAUGAAGUAUACCCAACACAUGUGAGUAUGAUCAUCCAAGAAUAGCAAAAAGUAUCGGCUUCCAUCAACAGACUGGUGCUGCAUCGGCCCACAUACAUCCGUAUGUACAAUCUCAAGCUUCUCUCUUGUCUUAGUUUGAGAUUCCUUUGGGAAGCUUUUGCGUGAUUGCUUUCCAAGUCUACACGCCUCACAUGCUUCCUUCUUGACUUUAAACUUUGGUAAUCCCUUUACCAAGUCUUUGUCUUGCAUUUGUUGCAACCUUUUGUCGCCUACAUGACCAAGUCUCUUGUGCCAUGUCUCCAUCUUUCCUUGCUCACUAGCGCUCAAGGCCUCUUCUACCUGAGCCGAACUCAUCCUGAUUCGAUAGCUUUUGUGAGUCAUUGGGAUAUCCAUUAUCCUCCUUCCUUUUGCAUCAUCUAUGAUGCAUCUCUUCUCUUGGAAACUCACCCGGUAUCCGCUUGAAACAAUUUGUGGAACACUCAACAAAUUUUUUGCCAAACCCGGAACCAAGAAUACAUUUCUGAUGGUCUUCUUGCCACCUUUGGUCAUGACGGUAAUGUCUCCUUUACCGGCUGUCAUGACUGUGCUUCCAUUUCCAAUCUUUAUUGGAACCUUGAUACUCCUAUCAAGCUUUGAGAAGUAACUCUCCUCCUUUGUCAUAUGAUUAGUUGCUCCACUGUCUACUAACCAGACAUCUUCCAUCACUGUUGUUGCUGCUUCGCUCGCACUGAACAACAUGUGAUCUUCAUUUGAAUCUUCUUCGAGACUCACAUGUGCCUUCUCUUUCUUCUUUGAGUAGCACUGAUUUGCAAAGUGGCCUAACUUGCCACAAUUGUAACACUCCUUGUUACUUCUGUGAUCCUUCUUUGGAUCUUCCUUCUUCUGUUUCCUCCAACACUCGCUCUCAUUGUGGUUGUUUCUCUUGCAGAAACCGCACCACUUCUUGCCUCCUUGGCGCUUUGAGUUGUCUUGUGUAACACCAGAAUUUUUGUGUUUAACACGAGCAUCGAAUGCUCCUUCACUGGUGCUUUCUUCUCUUGCAGCCAGCCUUGCUUCAUGAGCCUUCAAGAUCCCGAUCAACUCUGUCAUCUUUGUUGAAGUCAAAUCGCUUGUUUGCUCCAACACACUGACUAUGCUAUCGAACUUGGCUGGGAGAGAGAUGAGUAUCUUUUGUAUGAGUUGAACAUCUGACUUCUGUUCACCAUGAUAAGUUAAUUGAUUUGCCAAUUCAACUAUCUUAUCUGUGAAGACCUUAAUGUCUUCAUUCUCAUACAUCUUCAGAUUCUCAUACUCCCUUCGCAAUGUUUGAAGUUUAAUCAAACGAACUUGAGGAGAGCCUUCAUACUCCUCCUUCAAUGCAUCCCACGCCUCUUUGGAUGUUGAUGCUGCUGCAAUCCGUGAGAAUAUAUGAUCCGAUACAGCAGUUUGCAAGAUUUGCAAAGCCAAUGUAUCGUUCAUCAUCGCUUCUUCUCUAAGCGAUCUUGCCCUUGCUGUUUCAGGGGUUUCAUCCACUUGUGCUGGUGGGGCUGCUACGCCUUCUUCAACCACAGACCAUAACUUCCUGGUCUUGAGAAUGGUUGUCAUCUUGAUGCUCCAGAAGUCGUACUUCUCUCCAUCAAAUAUGGGGAUUACUUGAUUCUUCAUCGUUUCGAGUGAUUCCGAAAUCGUAUGACAAAAUCCUCUAGCCUCCUUUUCUCCACGCCAAGUGUUUCUGUUACUAGUGCUUUUUUCUUUGUCCUCUCAAACGUAAAGCUCUGAUACCAUGUUAAUCUUUUACCAACCGCUUGUGUUACACAACGAUCACAGUGUGUUACACACGAGUUCGAGAGAAAGAAUAAGAUAGACGUUUCAGGCUUAUAAACUUUUCUGAAAAUACUUUUGUGUUAUUGAGAUUCGGUGAUUUUUGUUUACAACAGAUGAUUGAUCUUUAUAUAGAGAUCGAAUCAAUACAAGUAUAAGAGACACAACUCUUUAUACUAAAGGACACAACAUGAAGAGUUACAACUCUUUGUGUAAUAACAUAAAUAACUAACUUAUGUAAAUGUAUCAAGGAGAGAUUAGAUUAUAUAGUUUAACAAAGAUGGCAUCGUUGAUGGGAUUCUCCGGAUUAGUGCGAGAGCGAAGGCAUUUGAUGAAGUUUCCAAAAUGUGGUUUCGUUAUUGCUGCUUCGGAAACCGAAACAAGAAGAACAAGACACAAUAUGGAUAGUGCUUCUUUCAUAUUUUUUUUUUUGUUUUGUUUUUGUUUUGAUGUAAUAUGACUUACGCUUCUACGUUGAUCUCAAUUUAUAGAAAAAAAUUUCGUCAGGGUCAGGGAAAACUUUUAUCAAAAUAAAUCCGUUGAAUUUUUCAUUUAAAAUUGGAUUUUUGUCAUAUAUGUUUACUUUGAUUUUUUUUUCAAAUAUGGUGGUGCAAUUUGAAUAGCUUAUGCGAUUUUUUCUUUGAAAUAUAUUUUAAUAUAUGGAACUUGUAACGCAACUUACUAUAGAUUAUGGUAAUCAAGUAUUGGAGGACUCUAUCUCAUGGUCAAGAAAACAGAUUGAAAUACAGGCUGCUAUAAUACAGGCUGCUAUUACAGUUUCCUAUUCCACAUCAACAUAUAUAUCUCGAUGCUACUUUAGGGUUUGGUUUAGAAUAACUAUAUUAUCGAAUUCUGAUAUAAUGGAAAAAGUUUUGAAUACACUCAGAUUUUAUUCAUGGAAACGUAAGGUGAGACUUCAUUCAUAUUUUCAAGAAGCCCAUCCUUUAUCGAAAAUAAGUUGUAAUUAAAUGUUGUUCAUUUUUAUGUAAAAAAAUAUUAAUAAUCUAGAAUGCACUGAAUUUUCCUCUCUUCUUGUCCAAUCACUGUUUUUUCUCCGUCGUUGAAUUCAAUUUUAUAGGUUACGUGUUGGCAUGACUGAAAAAGAAAACUAAUGUUUUUUAAGAUUGUUGUGAAAUUUUGAAGCAAACCUUUUUUUCCUAAGACUUUUCUUAGAGCAUAACGUUGAUCAUUUUUUUCCUCUAACAUUAAAUACAUUUAUACAUAUAAACAUUCGCUUUCAAAUGAAAGUAACCACAUUAAUGCACAACUCGAAGAGCCCAUUGUGUUUUGUUCAUACUGAUUGUUUACGGGGGACCCUUGUUUAGGUAAGCAACCACACAGCGACCAAACCUUACGAUUUGGCAUGCAUGUCGGCCGAAAUAUCUUGAAUUGUCUGAACGAUUACGCACGAUCGUAAACUGGAGACUGGAGAGUGCAGAUCCGGUAACUAACAAAGUGAUAUUCCUAAAUUGCCUAAAGUUUUACUCUGUAAUGAUCGGAUACAAUCAUAUAGUAUUCAAAAAAAAUUCCACUAGAUUCUCCGAAGAUGUCGACUUCUAGUUCUAGAUUUCCUGACUCGUUAUUGUUCUUUUAGCGUUAGUUAACUCUGUGUUAGAUAUCUUUGUGGUUUGUUUAGUGAAAUAUUAAGCCUACAUUUCUGUAAAAGAGUGACUAGGCCCGAGCAUUUUACCCGGAUCCAAAAAUCUGAAAAAUCAGCUUUAGUAGGAUAUGGAUAAAUUAAUGUCAUUUUACCCCAUUCGGUCUUGUUGUAUAGGAUCCACGGGUCUUAGACCCAACCCGACCAAACCCAAGACUCGAUAGGACAUCCGAAAUACCCGGUUUAACUGGUUUUAGGUUCAAAAAAUGAUGGGUCUUGACUAUAUUAUAACCUGUUUGAGUGUUGAUUCAAGGUAACAGCAUGACUUAUUUAUAGCUGUUUCUAUUUACCAAAUUUAACAUUUCCCGAUGUUGGAUGUUUCGAAUUAGUAAUUCACUAGGAUAAAACCCGCGCCUUGCGCGGGAUUAAGUUAUUAUUUUUAUUAUAUUUUGGAGAAUGAAACAAUAGUUUGGCUUCAUUUGGAUUACGGGUGUUCAAUCCGAAUAUCGGGUUGGUUUCGGUUCGGUUUGGUUUUUUUCGGUAUUUGGUUAGUAAAAUAUAAUUACUAUUCUAAAUCCAUAUUUACUUUGACUUUAGUCUUUCACAUACUUUUGAAAGAUUUCAACUGGACGACUAAAUUGAUCAGUCAAUCUUAUUGCUUUAAAUCAUUAGUGUUUAUAUAUAUAUAUAUAUAUUAUUUAGUUUAAAUAUUUAUUAAAUAAAAAUUCAUAUGCGUUAUAUUUUAUGAUCAUUUGUAAUUUAUUAUAACAAAAAAAUAAUCUUUUGAUCACAAAAUUUUCAGAGUGAGAAUAUUCAAAUUUCUAAUAAUAUAUAGACGUUUUAAAAAUUCAAAUAUAACAUAUAAGAAAAAAUAUAAAUGUUUUUAUUAUAUAUUUAAUGUGAUUUUUUAAUAUCCUUCAAUAAUAUAAAAUUAAAAAAAAGAACUAAGAUACCAAAAUUGUUAUCAAAUAUUUAUUAUUCAUAAUAAUUAAUUUUCAUAUAUACGUUAAUCAUAUUAGGUAAUUUCGUAGCUUCUAAUUAAGGAAAGUGCAAAAAAUAUUUUGGUAGAUUAUUUAUCAAUUCGAUAGUUAGUUUAAUAAAAAAUAUAAUGUAAGUCAAGAUGGACCAACCUAUUUGUCUAAGAAUAGUAUAUUUUAUAUAGUCAUUUAUUAAAUGAGAAUUUAUAAUCAUACAGUUCUAUGAUCAUUCAUAUCAUUUUAUAACUGAAUAUUUAAAUCAUCGAUAACAAAAUUUUUAAUGUGAAAUCUUUAAUAAGUUUAUAAUUUAUAAAUGUUUUUGAAAAUUCAUUGAAAGUUUUAAUAUUAAAAUAUUUAUGUAAUUUUAUGGUAUAUAGUAUAAUCUAUAUAUAUAUAUAAAUAUAUAUGUUUUAUUAUUAAAUGAUAUUUUUUACUCAUAUGGUUUUAAAAUAAUGUGUAUCUUCUUAUAAUAUUAAAUAAAAGUUCAUAUUAAUACAAUUUUAUGAUCAUUUGUAACUUAUUAUGACAAAAAAAUAAUCUAUUGAUCACAAAAUUUUCAGAGUGGGGAUCUUCAAAUUUCUAAUAAUUUAUAGACGUUUUGAAAAAUUCAAAAUAUAACAUAUAAGAAAAAUUAUAAAUGUUUUUAUUAUAUAUUUAAUGUGAUUUUUAAAUAUAUUUUAAUAAUAUAAAAUUAAAAAAAGAACUAAGAUACAAAAAUUGUUAUCAAAUAUUUAUUAUUCAUUAUAAUUAAUUUUUACAUAUACGUUAAUCAUAUGAGGUAAUUUCGUAGCUUUUAUUUAAGGAAAGUGCAAAACAUUUUUUGGUACGUUAUUUAUCAAUUCGAUAGUUAGUUUAAUAAAAAGUGUAAUAUAAGUUAAGAUGGACCAACCUAUUUUUCUAGGAAUAGUAUAUUUUGUAUAGUUAUUUAUUAAAUAAGAAUUUAUAAUCAUACGGUUCUAUGAUCGUUCAUAUCGUUUUAUAACAAAAUAUUUAAAUCAUCGAUAACAAAAUUUUCAAUCUGAAAUCUUUAAUAAGUUUAUAAUUUAUAAAUGUUCUUGAAAAUUCAUUGAAAGUUUUAAUAUUAAAAUAUUUAUGUAAUCUUAUGGUAUAUAGUGUUUAAUAUAUAUAUAUAUAUAUAUAUAUAUAUAUAUAUAUAUAUAUAUUUAUUUUAUUAUUAAAUGAUAUUUUUUACUCAUAUGGUUUUAAAAUCAUGUGUAUCUUCUUAUAAUAAAAAUGUUAAACCAUUGAUCAUUAAUUUUUAACAUAAUAAUUUUAAUAGUUUUAGUCAUUUAUUGUCGUUUUUAAAAAUUCAAAAUAUAACAUAUACGAAAAAAUCUAAAUUUUAUUUUUAUAGCUAAUUUGAUUGUUUAAUUUAUUUUAAUAAUAUAAAAUUAAACAAAAAAUGAUGGAGGAGAUAUAUAUUGUUAUCAAAUCUUUAUUAUUAAACUCAUUAAUUGUCAUAUAUAUAUUAGUCAUUUAUGGUAAUUCCGUAGGUUUUAUUUAAGGAAAGAAAAUAUCAUAUCAUAUCAUUAUAUCAUAUAGUUUGACCAACUUAUGUAUCUAACAACAUAUAAAAAUCGAAUGUGGACCUACUUAUUUUUCAAUUGAAUGUAAUUGACUGCCUAAUUGAGUGCCACCUAUGCAUUGGGGUCUCUUUUAAUUAAUACAAAAUUGAAGUUACAUAUUUUCAAAUGUUCCUCAAUUAAUAUAUAAGGGAUUAAAAAGAUCAAACUUAAACUGCUAUCGAACCCAACGUAAAGUCCGAACUCUAAUUGAAAUACCACCAGACCACAUUAAAGCAGUGUAACUAUCCUACAAAAUAACUAAUAUAUAUAUAUAUAUAUUUAUAUUUAUAUAUAUACGAAAAAUUCUAAAAAUGUUCAAAAUUAAAUAUCCGUUUAAUACCUGAAUCGGUCUGGACUCGACUUGACUCGAACUGACAAAUUGUAAUUAUUCUAAGACUCGAAACUUUCGGACCCGAUAAGACUCUAACCAAACUCAAUCGGAGACCCGAAUGCCGGCUCAAAAAAAUUUAAGGCCGUCAGGAAAAAAUAUAUAUAUAUGGCCUUUUGGCAAAAAAAAUAGUUAAAACCUAAAUUUAAUAUAAUUGUUUGUUAUUUUAUUAUUUUGCAUGAGAAUUUUCAAAAUAAAUUUAGAUUUUAAAAAUAUAUAACGAAAUUUAGCUAAAUAUUUAAAUCUAUUUUUGUUUAUUAAAUUUCUUUUAAAAAUUGUAAAAGUAAAGAAAUUUUUUUGGACCCUAAGGCCCUAGGCGGUUGUACUCCCCGCCUUAUGCUAUCUAAGCCGCCCUUAAUGCCGUUAGAGAGAUUUGGAAUUUACACAGUUAUUCUAUAAUACUAGAUGAUAAUCUGCGCGGAUGAGUUUUUUAUACUAAUGUUUGUUCAUUAAAUGGUUUAAACAUUUUGCAACACAACAAUUUUUAUCGAUUGUAAAAUGACGAAUACAAAUGUUGGUCUCUUAAAUGUAUCACUCAUUUUAAUUAUUUUUAAGACUUCAUAUGCCCAAAAAGAAAUUAAGGUUUGCGGCUAACACAAAUCACCAAAACCAUAUAGGUAACAUCGAUUAAAAAAUAACGAAAGGAGAUUAGGUUUUCUGCUCGAUUUAUUAACUAUUGACUCUCCAUACGUGAUUUUAUUUUCUGCCUCUAUAAAAUUAUGCCUUUGUUCUCUUUUUGUUUCAUUGAUAUGAGUUUUGUUUAUUUUUUAGUUUUUUCUAUGAAUUCGGUGAAUUACAUAAAUGUCAAUUUAAAAAGAUGGACAUCUGUAAAAUUUAAUUCUACUUCGGAUACAUAUCUAAGAAUCAAAUUUUUGAAGAAAAUCACCGGUAAACUUUGUUCACAAGGUAGUGUCCAAAUCUAAUAUAUCAAGUUGUUAUAUAAUAUAAGUGCAGACUCUAAAUAAAUGUAUGUCUAGUACAUGGUCACCAAUUCGGUCUAAAAAUUAUCUAUUUAUAGAACAAUAAAAUAAAUUACUUAUUUUAUUAACCUACACUUUUGAAGUUUAGUUACUUAAGAAUAUACCAACAAAAGAAAUAUAUAAUACUUUACUUAUAGUAUAUGUAAACUAUGUAUAACUAAGAAUUGUUGGAUUUAUUAAAUGAUAAACCAGAAAACUUAUAAUAAAUCGUUCAAAUUUGUCAUUCUUACAAUUAUAAUAGCUAGAUAUUAGGAAGAACCAAAUAUUAGACGAAUGAUCAAAUCUCUCAUUCUUUGAACAAACUCAAAAAGAAAUGAUUAAAAUCUUGCCAUGAUAUUUCAUUAAAAGUUUUUUUAGGAAUAAAUAUCAAGACAAAAUUAUUUAAUCUGAAUAAAAUAAUAUAUAUAUAUAUAUAUAUAUGUAUAUAAUGCUUCCAAUAUUAAAAAUUACUCGGAUUAUCAGGAUCAAAUAACAUAUUAGAAACCACUUAUUUAAAAUAUAAUUUGUAUACAUAAAAGUAUAUACAUUAGAAUAAGUACAUAGAUCAAAACCAAUACUUUUUGUUAAUUUACAAUCAUGUUUUUUUUGUAACUAAAUCAAAACAAUCAUUUUAUUUAGCUUAUAUGGUAUAUAAUUAAACUUUAGUGAUAUUUACAUAUAUAUAUAUAUAUGUAUAAUAUAUUUUAAUAUAAAUAUUUAUUAUUGAUACUUCCUACUCAGAUGAUUUUAAUAUUAUUUGUGUAUUUAAUGUAACAAAAAUUUAACCCGUUAAUCACAAAACUUUAAAGUGAUAUUUUUCAAUACAAAUUUUAAAAUUAAAAUAAGAUCUCAAUAAUUUUUCAUUACAAAUUUUUAAAAUUUAAAAUCAACAUAUUUAUAUAUUUUAUAUAAUAUAUAUAUAUAUAUAUAAUAUAAGACUUCAUAUUCAUACGAUUUAUGAUCAUUGUAUCUUGAUUGAACAAAAAAGUUAAACCAUUGAUCACAAAAUUUUCAAUAUGAGAUUUUCACCAUUUUUAGUAAUUUAUUGUCGUUUUGAAAAAUUCAAAAUAUAACAUAUAAAAAUAUCUAAUUUUUUAAUUAAAUGCUUGAUGUUAUUGUUUAAUUUUUUUUUAAUGAUAUAAAAUUAAAAAAAAAACAUACAAAAAUUGUUAUCGUAUAUGUAUUAUUUAUUCAUAAUAAUUAAUUGUCAUAUAUAUAUGUUAUUCACAUAGAUAAUUUCGUAACUUUUUUUUAAUAAAAUGAAAAGUAUUCUUUGGAACAUUACUAAUCAAUUUUUUUUUCCGUCAACAUUUCAUUAAAAUAGAAAAGGGCCCAGCCCUACAAUAUUACAAGAUAAAGGCCCACGGCCCAAUUACCAAAACCUACCAAACCCUUGACAAUCCGGCCCACAGGCCCACAAACCCAAACCCCGACACUGCCCUAAUCCAGGAACCCGUGUCGGCGAAACCUAAUCACGUCUCGUCUCAUCCCGGCGGUUACAGUCAGCGGCUCUCAUCCGCCGCGCUUGUUACGGAGAGCGUCAUCGGACUAACCGAGAGCUCAUCCCAAUCAUCAACUCCACCUACUGGAUAUAUCAAGCCCGAGACUCAAGCACUCUGCUUUCCUUCUCUUGUCGUCGUUGGAGAGCUUCAUCGUCUACCGAUAGCUCAUCCCUUCUAAUCCGAACAACCACCCUAACGACAAGAAACCACACCGCAAAUUUCACCCAAUCCAAACUAGAAAAGACAAAGAAAAAAAACCCCAAAAGAGAACGGAGACCUAAAACCGACAGCGUAGAGCUAUGUGAGCCCUUACCCUCCGGAGCCAAAACCGGCGAAGACGGAGCAGAGAAAGCCUCUCCUUCCCGGGAACUAGAACCGGCGGCAGCGAAGCUGAAGAAGCCUCCACCUCCCGGAGAACAAACCACUGACACAUGCAAGCCUCUCUUCUCACGCCGUUAGCCACCACGCGACCGCGUCUUCCCUCCACGCGAGGAAACCACCGUUGGAUGAUGGUUCCAAUCCAGAGCUCCGACAAAGCGAUCGGUGAGGCGCGACGAAGAAGAGGUUAAAAGAAACCUCUUUGAAAAAGAAUAAGGGUUCCGGCGAUGGCACGGACGCUCACGCGCCGGCCAUACGCCGGAGAGAAAUCUCAGAUCUCCUUUCUCUCUCCUUUCUCUCUCCUUUCUCUCUCUAGCACUUCUACACUCAUUACUAAUCAAUUUGAUACUUAGUUUAAUAAAAAAUAUAAUAUAUAUUUAUGUGAAUCAAAUUAUUUUUCUAAUAAUUCUAAGAAUCAUCCUAGAUUUCUAAUGAUGACACGUGACUACCAAAAUAUGUUAUAAUGCUCUAUGAUUAAUUUAUAGGGGAUAAUAUACCAUUUGUAUUUUAGUCUUGUAUGUAGGUGUAUCAAUACAUUUCCUUGUUAAUAUUGUAAGAGUAUGAAUGAGAAUUAUAAUAUUUUAACAUGUUUUGGUUUUAUUUCUGUAGUUUUGUUGGUUAAUAGCCCUGUUCAGAAACUCGCUAGGCGUUACGCGUGCGGUUGAUUCGGACCUAGCGAAUUGAUGGAAAAUCGGAAAAAAAUCGGAGAGUACGCGGAGAUUUUUUUAUAGGGCUUUAUCGCGUGUAUUGGUAUAUAUAUUACGUUUCGCAGACAAAAACAAAGUGUCAUGAUAGUGUAGCGGUUUGUUUAGUAGGGCAUAUGGCUAGCAAACAUGCAUUUGUAUGCAUUUUUGUGUUUAUUUAAUGAGGGGUAAAAGAGUAAUUAGCUCUUCAUCUUCUUCCUUCAACUCAUUUCGCCUGCAACCCUAGCCGCCAUAAUUUUUUUCAACCUAAUUCUUUGUUUAUUUGGGUGAUUUGUCUCGUUUUCACUUAGUUUUCGUGAUUUUAGCAACAAAACGUAAGAAAUUUAAGAUUCAAGUGUCGAUUUUGAAGUAAAUUUCACCAAAAAAAAUUUUCCCCGAUUUUAUGGCCGAGUAAGGUCAAAACGCCACGGUGCAUCAUCGUUGAGCGUUUAUACGCCGCGUAAUCGGUCACUCCGAGCGAGUUUUUGAACAUGGGUUAAUAGUUGUUUAUUAACAAUGAACAAGACUUAUGAACCUUUAAAUUCACAUAUCCUCUUAUUACCAAUCAAAAUGUCACCUAGAUUAAUAAUAAAAUAAAUUAAUUUUAUUUAAAAAAAUUUGAAAUAAUUGAAAAAAAAAUAUAACGUCAAUUUUGAUGAUGCUAACGCCACUAACUAAACCCUAAACUUUAAAUCUAUAUCCUAAACCCUAAACUUUAAAUUUAUAUCCUAAACCCUAAACUCUAAACUCAAAUCCUGAACCCUAAACCCAAACUGUAAACCCUAAACACAAAUCCUAUAUCCUAAACCCAAAUCCUAAACCCUAAACCCAAACCGUAAAUCCUAAACCUAAAUCCUAAACCCUAAACCCAAACUGUAAACCCUAAACCCAAACCCUAUAUCCUAAACCCAAAUCAUAGACUAUAAACUAAAACCAUAUAACCAAACCUAAUCCAUACACCCUAAACUCAAAUCGUAAACCCUGAACCCAAAUCCUAUAUCCUAAAGGUUUGGGUUAAUGUUGAUGUUUUUUUUUAGGGUUUAAGAUUUGGGUUUAGAGUCUAGGUUUGGGUUUAGGAUCUAGAGUUAGAAUUUGAGUUUAAGGUCUAGGAUUUGAAUUUAAAGUUUACAGUUUGGGUUUAGGAUUAGGGUUUAGAGUUUGGGUUUAGAAUUUAGGGUUUAGAUUUUAGAUUUAAGGUUUAGGGUUUAGUUAGUGGUGUUAACGUCAUUAAAAUGAACGUCAUUAUUUUUUUCAAUUAUUUUAGAAUUCUUUUAAAAAAAUAAUGUAUUUUAUUAUUAAUCUAUGUGGCAUUUUGAUUGGUAAUAAGGGAGGAGGUGAAUUUAAAUGUUCAAAACCUUAGAGUGAACAGUUUUGUUCAUUAACAAUGCCCACGUAACUUAUUAUUAUUUUCUUCUCUUGAGAACACAACUUAUUAUUGUUGAUAAGUAUCUAUAUGAUGGAAGAGUAAUCAACAUUAUACUACAUGAACCGAACAGGAGGAAUACUCUGCUCGUUCUUAAAGAAAUUCUCAGGAUCGUACUUUGCUUUUACUUGCAUCAAUCUCUUCAAAUUCCCCAAGAAAUACUUGGUACCAUAGAUCUUAGCUUCAUCCACGUCUGUCUCACCACUAGGAUUGCUUCCAAUAUCAAUAUCUCUGUAAUUAAAAAACGCCUCUCUCGGGUUACUUGAGACAUACGGUUCCGCAACCUCAUAUAGCUCCCUCAUCAGUCUAAGGGUAGUCUCUGUUUCGCUUGCGUCCAACCAUGUCGCAGAGUAUUGAACCUUGAACAUGUUUCCUUUCCGAUGAGGAUACGCCGUGGCGUUGGCCGGAAUCCUGUCCAUCACUCCACCGUAAGUGUUCAUUUGCAUCCACACAGUGUGUUUGAAUUCAAACAUUUUUUUCCAGAGCUUCUCGAACCCUUCUUUAGGGAUAGGUUUCUUGACGUAAUCAGAUUUGCUUUUGAAGAAUCCUGGAUUCGUAGGUCUUUCUAGAAGAACGCUCGGUGGUGUUCCUUCAGGGUAAUCAGCCCAAAACAGCGUCGUUUCGAACCAGCUCAUUUCGUGACAAUCUUCACGUUUUAGCCCUAACCCAGGCAAGUUCUUGUUUAGUAACGCCAUCAGCUUGUCGGCUCGACCCAAGAACUGAGCGUAGAACACAACCGCGAUGGUUCUCUCGCCAUGUUUUGUUCCGUUUACGACCUGAGGCCAUGCUCUAAUGAAAAGAUCUUCAGGGAACUUGGUGGAGACAAGCUGCCACUUGUAGAGAACAUCAGUGCCUCCUUGUUCCAAUGUUUUGUUAACCCUAAACACUGUCAUGAUCUUUGGAACUUCCACGAGGUUAAUUUUCCAAGAGAGGAUAACUCCGAAGCUCGCACCCCCACCUCCACGAAUAGCCCAAAAGAGAUCUUCUCCCAUGGUAGCUCGGUUCAAGAGCUUGCCGUUGACAUCAACUAAUAGAGCAUCAACGACAUGAUCCACAGUGAUUCCAUAUUUUCUUAUGAGAUUACCGUACCCUCCACCGCUUAUGUGCCCUCCUGCUCCUACCGUAGGGCACACGCCAGCUGGGAACGCUAGCGUUUUGCUUGCGUCUUUGAUCUUUACGUAGAGCUCUCCCAAGGUGGCACCAGCUUGAACCCAAGCUUUCUUGCGUGACACGUCAAUGGUAAUUGACCUAAGAUUGUGCAUAUCAAGAAUGACAAAUGGAACAGAGGAUAUGUAAGAAAGGGCUUCGAGGUCAUGACCGCCACUUCGGGUACGGAGUUGUAUACCGUUGGUCUUUGCGCAGACCACGGUGGCUUGAACAUGAGAUACAUGUUCUGCCACCACGAUGGCUAGUAGGUUUUGGUUAGGGCUCGAGUACCUCUUGUUUUUCGUGUAGGACAAGUAAGAAGACAAGAAGGUGGUGGUGUUAUCGGGGGUGAAGAUGGCAUCGGUGACUGGAUUAUUCGGACUAGUCCGAUAGUGAAGGCAUUCGAUAAAGUUUGCAGAGUUCGGUUUUGCUAUUGCUACUUCUAAAACCGAAACCAAAAGAACAAGAC